UUACAAUCCACCAACCUAAGAAUGAAGAAGACUCAUUAGCAGGCCUUCAAUGGUGGCUCCUACCGAAAUCGAAAUGCCAGCUCAAAUGGCUAGGCUUGUAAGCUGAGCUUGAGCUGGUGAUUGACUUGAUAUGAAAUUGGAACUGUAUGAAUGAAUGUAUUGCAGUGGUAUGCAUAGAUGAAGUUGUAGAGCAAUUGCAGAUGCUGGUUGUUACAAUGGCUGCGACAAUGUGUUUGAGGUUCCUUGCUAAGAUGUUACUGCCAAAAGGUUCA
Long non-coding RNA from Papaver somniferum (opium poppy), 272 nucleotides. RefSeq lists it as uncharacterized. The record is from RefSeq and is a predicted model, not a curated record. Lineage: Eukaryota; Viridiplantae; Streptophyta; Magnoliopsida; Ranunculales; Papaveraceae. The transcript has 3 exons.